UUAGAUUAUGCAUACUCUAAUUUCUUAAAGUUGUUGUUUUUACUCUUCCCUAGAGGCUUUCAUACUCCAAUUGGUCAUACAAAUGGAACCAGUGACAAACAUGCUAGACUUCUUUUACUGGGAUCCACCAGAUCGACCUUGUAAAUAGCUCAUAACUGCUAAACUAUGCAAUAUUACUUCUAUGUUGGAUUCUGAAGACCCCUGGACCUUCUUCUUAUCCCCUUGUGGGCUAUAUUCAUAGCAAUCCUGAUGACCUUAUAAUUUGGCCCAUGCAUUCUUAACUGUUUCUUUGGCUUUGUAUCCUCCAGAUUUAAAAGCUGUGCAGCUACCAAGAUGAUAAUGCGAGGUGCCUCUAAAGACCUUUAGAUGGACCCUCUGUAGAGUAACUCUAACUGGUGAUCACAACUAUGACCCUCUUCAGCUGUGUUAUCAUCCUUCUUGAAACAUGGCAUAAAAUUUGAACACCUCAAGCAAUCCAGAGCACAAGGUCAUUUGACUCCAAAAGUUAUGGACAAAACCAUUUGCUGUGCAGACUAUGCUGUUUUGGCAAAAAGAAAACCUUUACAGAAG
RNAcentral lists this long non-coding RNA (570 nucleotides) under Fukomys damarensis (Damara mole-rat). RNAcentral's name for it is "lncRNA (ENSFDAG00000026148.1)". Lineage: Eukaryota; Metazoa; Chordata; Mammalia; Rodentia; Bathyergidae. The record is from RNAcentral.